Molecule: long non-coding RNA, 586 nt
Organism: Venturia canescens
Lineage: Eukaryota; Metazoa; Arthropoda; Insecta; Hymenoptera; Ichneumonidae
Exons: 3
Source: RefSeq, a predicted model, not a curated record
GUUUUAUCGGAAAAAUGCACGAAUCGUAAAAAGUUGCUCGAAACUUCGACGAGCGAAGGAAGAGAACGUACUAAAGUGAUGAUGAGAACGCUCAGAGAAUUCUCGCUCUGCUGAGGGUUCUCAUUCUUAUCUCAGCUAAAUCAAAGGACCCGAAAAGCUCUGAGGGCUGAAAGAAUCAAAGAGGAUUCAUUCAAUUUAAUGGACCCCUUUGUUGGAAAAGCAUCGACAGCUGCGUGGAAUUUUCUUCGUUGCUUUUCGACCUAUCGAUAACUCGAUGAAACAGAAGGAAACAAAAGAGUUUUCCUCGGUCCUUCAACGGAAAAUGUUUGUCCCAAGAGUGUGUGUAGGCAGACAUUCAUCUUUUCGUCCCUGGGUUAGUUGACUCCUUCAAAAAGGAGCAAGUAUAUUUGGAGUGAAGGGAAGAAAAGAAGAAAAAGGAGGAAAAGUAAGAGAGAAAACGAAAGAAAGUUGCGACAGCACCAAGAGGUCGUUGCGUCUGUGUCGUCCAAUUGGGAAUUAGUCCUUUUUUCACCCUGGAGCUUUGAACGCAGCGCCAGAGGCACUGGGCAGAGCUUAUUUUUUGGAC